Molecule: unclassified non-coding RNA, 1998 nt
Filed under: Eurytemora carolleeae
Lineage: Eukaryota; Metazoa; Arthropoda; Copepoda; Calanoida; Temoridae
Description: uncharacterized LOC111700705
Source: RNAcentral
CUUGAGUUUUAUUUCAACGCUAAGCAAGGCAGUAAUCCCAUGAAUCCGAUAAACUUUACUCAAGAUACUGCACUCAUAGAUUUCCAGGAAGAGACUACACGAUAUACUGCUGUUCUAACUACAGUUCUAGACGGAGACAGUUGUGGACUUCAUCUAAACUUGAAAACUGAAUCAAGUCCUAAACCAACACAGGGGAAUAAACCUCUGACUCUGGAAAAACCCGGUCCGAAAUCCACCAAGUCCAUCCUGCCGAAUUUACCGGAAAUGAUGAGUGACGAGGAAUCUCAGAAAUCUGCCAGGAAGUCUGCUGUUCUGAUUGCUAAAAUGCGAGAUGGUUCUUACAAGGCUGAGGUGCUGGUUAACUUGGACGAGACUGGGUCAGGGUUCACGAGUGGGAACUUGUUCAAGGGGAAGCAAAUUGAUCUCGAGUUCGUCAAGGUGUUGGUUGUUAUAGACGCAAGACCGAGUUUAAAGGUCUCGGUGAUCUCUCACAAACAGUUUGUGGAAUAUGUUGGAAUUCGAGAUAUACCAACCAGAGAAUGUCUGGAGGAAUCUGGGAUUGGACGAGAGUUUGAAUUCCGUGUGGAUAAUUAUACUAUUGAGAGUGCAGAGGGUGAAAUCUGUAAAGCACUCAAGUUGAAGAUUUGCCAUGCCUGGUUUGUGAGUGAUGAUAAUCUAUGCCGGAAGCGAGACACCAAGGAUAACCCGGAUAUACAAACAGAACUAUCUGCAUAUCUGAGAAACGAUGCUAUUUACAAAACAUUAACAAAGGUUGUGGAGGAUCUAACAGAGAGUCAAGGAAGACCUGGAUAUACAGGAAAGGGAGCUGAUGAAACCGACAGGUUCUUGAUGGCUCUGGGAGAUCUACAGAAGAAGUACAAGACUUCUCGCUUCUGGAUUAUGCUGGAGAGAGAGUUCAAGUGUGAGAAUGACAAGCUGGUGUCCUCUGUGUGCAAAUAUGAAUCUGGAACUGGUCAACUCAGAUACUGUGGAACUAUUUGUCUAGGGAUGACAGAUGAUCUGAUCCUGAAACCCUCUGAGGAAUUCUUCAACAUGAUUCUAUACAACAGUGAUCCUAACUCCCAGGUCUACCUCAGAAGGUUUUUGAACCCGCUGAAUGUGACCAAGGUGAACCGUAACGAUGAUGUUGAAGGGAUAAACAACUUUGACAUCUUCGUCAUCCAGGAGGGCGCCAAAACUCCAGAAGAAGCAAUCCUUGAUUAUGACAAGUUUAUUACUCAGAAGAUUAAUGAGUUUACCGUGACCUUCAGGCCCAAGUCUGGUUCUGAUGAUGAAAAGAUUGAUAUUUCUGUUGAUAAAACUCAAGGAAUUUCUCAGCUGAAGAACCAGCUGAUGCAAGGACUGCAGGUUCCUGAAGGUUCAAAUAUCACGCUCUGGGAAUGCCUCAGCUCCGAGUCUACUUCCUCAAAUCCUCUCAAGAAACGAGCUUUCAGGAAACCGCUGGAUUAUCCUAUCUCGAACGAAGACGACAGGAUGGUGAAGGAUCUCUUCUCGAACUGCGAAGACGGGUCAAGAUGUCUGUACUAUCAGUUUUAAAUCCAUCAUUACAGGCCACGUUAGGAGAUUACUUGGAGGGGCUAUGGGUGCUCCCUCCCCCCUUCCUCUGUACUGGCACCAUGUUAAUUUACCCAGUACUCUUGAAUUCAGUAUUUGAAUUUGUAAUGUGCCCAACAUUAAUUUGUUGUUGUUUAGUUUUGUACCAGCUUGUACCCUAUCCCAAAGGUAUGUUUCGAAUUUGAUGUGUGAGAUUUGAAUCCCGUUGCGCGUUUUUCGUUUAUUUUUGAGCAUUUAUAUAACUCUGUACUUAUGUAACCUUACUUUCUGUGUACACUGUAACAAUGUACAGUUAAGUAGUAUAACGAUGAUCAAUAAGAAUUUUACCGAAUUAUCCAAGUUGUCUAAUUUCUUUUAAAUCCUAAAAUAUUUUUUUAUUGUCAUGCAUAGUAAAUCCACCAUGUUUAAUAUGUUCUCGAUCAG